GUGUGUGUGUGUGUGUGUGUGUGUGUGUCUGUGUCCCCACAAGGUCAGUUAUACAUGACUGUGUGUGUGUGUGUGUGUGUGUGUGUGUGUGUCUGUGUCCCCACAAGGUUAGUUAUACAUGACUGUGUGUGUGUGUGUGUGUGUGUGUGUGUGUGUGUGUGUGUCCCCACAAGGUUAGUUAUACAUGACUGUGUGUGUGUGUGUGUGUCCCCACAAGGUUAGUUAUACAUGACUGUGUGUGUGUGUGUGUGACUCACUUGGGCAGCAGCGUGUCCUCCUGUAGAUCAGACCCAGGACCGUGGUGAAUACGGUCAGCACGACCACAACUACCAGGACCAACCACGCCACGCUGAAAACACACAGC
RNAcentral lists this long non-coding RNA (364 nucleotides) under Salmo salar (Atlantic salmon). Its description in RNAcentral is "lncRNA (ENSSSAG00000121957.1)". The record is from RNAcentral. Lineage: Eukaryota; Metazoa; Chordata; Actinopteri; Salmoniformes; Salmonidae.